Molecule: ribosomal RNA, 264 nt
Filed under: uncultured bacterium
Lineage: Bacteria
Description: partial 16S ribosomal RNA
Rfam family: Bacterial small subunit ribosomal RNA
Source: RNAcentral
GAUGAACGUUGGCGGCGUGCCUAACACAUGCAAGUCGAACGCUGGUAGCAAUAUCAGAGUGGCGCACGGGUGAGUAACACGUAGCUUACCUACCUCAAAGCGCGGGAUAACGUUCCGAAAGGAAUGCUAAUACCGCAUAAGCUCGCGGUCUGUAGAGGGCUGAGAGAAAAGGGGCAACUCACUUUGAGAUGGGGCUGCGGCCCAUCAGCUGGUUGGUGAGGAACGGCUUACCAAGGCAACGACGGGUAGGGGACCUGAGAGGGU